GCCGGAGCGACUGCUCUGUUACCCUUUCGGGGGCCGGGUCCGCUUAGCGGGGACUUCUUGGACAAGCGAGGGUUCUGACGCGUUGACUUGGUGUUCUGCUUGGUUGCGUGUCGGCUGCGGCGACGUCCCUGCAGAGGGACGUGGCCGGGCCGUUGAUGCGGAGGGAACGGGUCAGGCCGGCGACGGAGCAUCCCACCUUGCGCACGUUCCCGUUGCAGAAGCACACCGAGGAGCAUCUCAGGGCUUGAGCCCCAAGUGUCGUCGCGAGGCGGUCC
Molecule: signal recognition particle RNA, 275 nt
Filed under: Trypanosoma congolense IL3000
Lineage: Eukaryota; Euglenozoa; Kinetoplastea; Trypanosomatida; Trypanosomatidae
Rfam family: Protozoan signal recognition particle RNA (bases 12-244)
Source: RNAcentral